Molecule: ribosomal RNA, 492 nt
Filed under: uncultured bacterium
Lineage: Bacteria
Description: partial 16S ribosomal RNA
Rfam family: Bacterial small subunit ribosomal RNA
Source: RNAcentral
AGUGAACGCUGGCGGUAGGCCUAACACAUGCAAGUCGAACGGCAGCACAGUAAGGGCUUGCUCUUACGGGUGGCGAGUGGCGGACGGGUGAGGAAUACAUCGGAAUCUACUUUUUCGUGGGGGAUAACGUAGGGAAACUUACGCUAAUACCGCAUACGACCUACGGGUGAAAGCAGGGGAUCUUCGGACCUUGCGCGAUUGAAUGAGCCGAUGUCGGAUUAGCUAGUUGGCGGGGUAAAGGCCCACCAAGGCGACGAUCCGUAGCUGGUCUGAGAGGAUGAUCAGCCACACUGGAACGGAGACACGGUCCAGACUCCUACGGGAGGCAGCAGUGGGGAAUAUUGGACAAUGGGCGCAAGCCUGAUCCAGCCAUACCGCGUGGGUGAAGAAGGCCUUCGGGUUGUAAAGCCCUUUUGUUGGGAAAGAAAAGCAGCAGGUUAAUACCCCGCUGUUCUGACGGUACCCAAAGAAUAAGCACCGGCUAACUUCGUG